This 478-nucleotide ribosomal RNA is filed under the name uncultured bacterium. RNAcentral's name for it is "partial 16S ribosomal RNA". It matches the Rfam family "Bacterial small subunit ribosomal RNA", at positions 28 to 522 of the family's 1533-position model. The record is from RNAcentral.
GACGAACGCUGGCGGCGUGCUUAACACAUGCAAGUCGAACGGUAAGGCCCUUCGGGGUACACGAGUGGCGAACGGGUGAGUAACACGUGGGUGAUCUGCCCUGCACUUCGGGAUAAGCCUGGGAAACUGGGUCUAAUACCGGAUAGGACCACUGCCUGCAUGGGUGGUGGUGGAAAGCUUUUGCGGUGUGGGAUGGGUUCGCGGCCUAUCAGCUUGUUGGUGGGGUGAUGGCCUACCAAGGCGACGACGGGUAGCCGGCCUGAGCGGGUGACCGGCCGAUCUGGGGCGGGGUUACGGCCAACACUCCGAGGGGAGGCCGCGGUGGGGAAGUUGGGGCAAUGAGCGCAAGCCGGAGGCACCGGCGCCGGGUGGGGGAUGACGCCUUUCGGGUUGUAAACCUCAUUCAGAACCGACGAAGCGAAAGUGACGGUAGGUGCAGAAGAAGGACCGGCCAACUACGUGCCAGCAGCCGGCGCCG